AUUGAACGCUGGCGGCAUGCCUUACACAUGCAAGUCGAACGGCAGCACGGGAGCAAUCCUGGUGGCGAGUGGCGAACGGGUGAGUAAAGUAUCGGAACGUGCCCAGUCGUGGGGGAUAACGUAGCGAAAGUUACGCUAAUACCGCAUACGAUCUAUGGAUGAAAGCGGGGGAUCGCAAGACCUCGCGCGAUUGGAGCGGCCGAUAUCAGAUUAGGUAGUUGGUGGGGUAAAGGCUCACCAAGCCGACGAUCUGUAGCUGGUCUGAGAGGACGAACAGCCACACUGGGAAUGAGACACGGCCCAGACUCCUACGGGGGGCAGCAGUGGGGAAUUUUGGACAAUGGGCGAAAGCCUGAUCCAGCCAUGCCGCGUGCAGGAUGAAGGCCUUCGGGUUGUAAACUGCUUUUGUACGGAACGAAAAGGUUUGGCCUAAUAAGCUGAGCUCAUGACGGUACCGUAAGAAUAAGCACCGGCUAACUACGUGCCAGCAGCCGCGGUAA
This 500-nucleotide ribosomal RNA is filed under the name uncultured bacterium. RNAcentral's name for it is "partial 16S ribosomal RNA". It matches the Rfam family "Bacterial small subunit ribosomal RNA", at positions 30 to 523 of the family's 1533-position model. The record is from RNAcentral.